This 387-nucleotide unclassified non-coding RNA is filed under the name soil metagenome. RNAcentral's name for it is "partial contains 5.8S ribosomal RNA, internal transcribed spacer 2, and large subunit ribosomal RNA". The stretch from base 1 to 120 matches the Rfam family "5.8S ribosomal RNA", at positions 35 to 154 of the family's 154-position model. The record is from RNAcentral.
GAUGAAGAACGUAGCGAAAUGCGAUAAGUAAUGUGAAUUGCAGAAUUCAGUGAAUCAUCGAAUCUUUGAACGCACAUUGCGCCCAUUAGUAUUCUAGUGGGCAUGCCUGUUCGAGCGUCAUUAAUUCCACUUAAGCCCUGCUUAGUGUUGGGAAUCUACUCUAGUGGUGCUACCCUGGAGCUACCCCUGAAAGGGGGCUGGCCCGGUAGCUACCCUGUAGUUCCUCAAAGAUAGUGCACGGAGUUGCGUGGUCCUCUGAGCUUAGUAACUAUACACCUAGCUUUUGAGUGUCCCGCGGCGCCUGCCGUUUAAACCCCAUCUUUUAAUGGUUGACCUCGGAUCAGGUAGGAAUACCCGCUGAACUUAAGCAUAUCAAUAAGCGGAGGA